RNAcentral lists this ribosomal RNA (658 nucleotides) under uncultured soil bacterium. RNAcentral's name for it is "bacterial SSU rRNA". It matches the Rfam family "Bacterial small subunit ribosomal RNA", at positions 35 to 685 of the family's 1533-position model. The record is from RNAcentral.
GCUGGCGGCGCGCCUAAUACAUGCAAGUCGAACGAGAAUGUGUUGCAAUACACAUGUAAAGUGGCGAACGGGUGAGGAUUACAUGGGUAACCUACCCUCGAGUGGGGAAUAACCAGCCGAAAGGUUGGCUAAUACCGCGUACGCUUCCCGGACUGCGGUUCGGGAAGGAAAGCGAUACCUUGGGUAUCGCGCUCUUGGAUGGGCUCAUGCCCUAUCAGCUUGUUGGUGAGGUAACGGCUCACCAAGGCUUCGACGGGUAGCUGAUCUGAGAGGAUGAUCAGCCACACUGGCACUGCGACACGGGCCAGACUCCUACGGGAGGCAGCAGUAAGGAAUAUUGCGCAAUGGGCGAAAGCCUGACGCAGCGACGCCGCGUGGGGGAUGAAGGUCUUCGGAUUGUAAACCCCUUUCGGGAGGGAAGAUGGGAUGGGGUAACCCAUUCGGACGGUACCUCCAGAAGCAGCCACGGCUAACUUCGUGCCAGCAGCCGCGGUAAUACGAAGGUGGCAAGCGUUGUUCGGAUUUACUGGGCGUACAGGGAGCGUAGGCGGUUGGAUAAGCCCUCCGUGAAAUCUCCAGGCUUAACCUGGAAAGUGCAGAGGGGACUGUUCAGCUAGAGGAUGGGAGAGGAGCGCGGAAUUCCCGGUGUAGCGGUGAA